UACGUAGGUGGCAAGCGUUGUCCGGAUUUAUUGGGCGUAAAGCGCGCGCAGGUGGUUCGUUGCGUCCGAGGUGAAAUCUCCCGGCUCAACUGGGAGGGGUCUUCGGAUACGGGCGGACUUGAGGAGAGCAGAGGUAGGCGGAAUGCUGGGUGUAGUGGUGAAAUGCGUAGAUAUCAGGAGGAAUACCGAUGGCGAAGGCAGGUCUCUGGGCUGACACUGACGCUCAUGCACGAAAGCGUGGGGAGCAAACAGG
RNAcentral lists this ribosomal RNA (253 nucleotides) under uncultured bacterium. RNAcentral's name for it is "partial 16S ribosomal RNA". It matches the Rfam family "Bacterial small subunit ribosomal RNA", at positions 524 to 776 of the family's 1533-position model. The record is from RNAcentral.